This 685-nucleotide unclassified non-coding RNA is filed under the name uncultured Prochlorococcus sp. RNAcentral's name for it is "partial may contain 16S ribosomal RNA, 16S-23S ribosomal RNA intergenic spacer, and 23S ribosomal RNA". The stretch from base 1 to 96 matches the Rfam family "Bacterial small subunit ribosomal RNA", at positions 1438 to 1533 of the family's 1533-position model. The record is from RNAcentral. Lineage: Bacteria; Bacillati; Cyanobacteriota; Cyanophyceae; Synechococcales; Prochlorococcaceae.
CCCUUGUGGAGGAGGACGCCGAAGGUGGGGCUAAUGACUGGGGUGAAGUCGUAACAAGGUAGCCGUACCGGAAGGUGCGGCUGGAUCACCUCCUAACAGGGAGACAACAAAAUGUUUAAUAUUAUUAUUUUGUCACCUUAGGUCGAUCGGUAUCUCACGUUCUUAAUUUGUUAAGAAUUUCAUUUCCUAAGUUUUUCUAGGUCACACCCAUUAUUUUUCCUGGGCCAUUAGCUCAGGUGGUUAGAGCGCACCCCUGAUAAGGGUGAGGUCCCUGGUUCAAGUCCAGGAUGGCCCAUAUCUCUAUGUUGGGGGUAUAGCUCAGUUGGUAGAGCGCCUGCUUUGCAAGCAGGAUGUCAGCGGUUCGAGUCCGCUUACCUCCACUGAUUACCACCUCUUCCAUAACUGGUAGAAAGGAAAUGUUUUGAGUUGUGAUUGUAUUCUGAACGAAUCUAGCUUCCUAAUGAAAUCAUUAAGAUGCUGGACUCAUUGAAUUAAUUUCAUUGUUUUCAGAGAACCUUGACAACUGCAUAGAAUUUUUUAAAGACAAUAAGCAUCUUUAAUGAUGCAGAUUUAUUAUUUGUGCGAAUGCAUUAAUAACAAUUCUAUUAAGCUGAUGCUUCAAUUUUUGAAGUUAUUGGUCAAGCUACAAAGGGCUCACGGAGGAUACCUAGGCACACAGAGGCGA